RNAcentral lists this long non-coding RNA (1135 nucleotides) under Medicago truncatula (barrel medic). RNAcentral describes it as "long non-coding RNA (MTRU_LNC006762)". Lineage: Eukaryota; Viridiplantae; Streptophyta; Magnoliopsida; Fabales; Fabaceae. The record is from RNAcentral.
UAAGUAAAAUCCAGAAAUUCCAUUGCAACACUCUAUUGGCAGUUAGACACAUAAACUCCAGAACAAUACCUUAUGAAAAGAUGACCACAAUAGACAUUUAAAAAGCAAGUCAACAAUAUUUAAAUUAACAAAGAUAGUGAUGAGAGAAGAGGGGUUAUGUAACUUAAUAAUAAACAAUGACCUUAAACACAAUUCCUACAAUAAUAAACACAGUGAGCCUAAACACAAUUCCUUCAAGAAAUCCAGAACCUGUAGAUUGAUUGUUCUACAUAUUAGUUUCACAAUCAACAUAGUGGAAAUUAUAUAAUAAAAAUCACCUAGUCCAAUAAAUAAACAGUUCAAUUAUAUAAGUCAAACAUAAAUUAAGGGAGUAAAUGAGAGGAAUAGAUACACCAUUAACUUUGAUAUUGAUUUCAUAAACAAAACUUAUUAAAAGUACACCCUGAAGUAUAAACUCAUAAAUUAGAUUGUGCUUACUUAACAAAUCAGAAACAAAUACAUUAGCCUUAAUGAUAGAUUGUACCUCUGAAUCAUUUGUCUUGGCUAAGAAGGAAUGAAACUAGAGCAAACCUACUAAAAUUUUACCAACCGCAACAGAACCAUUGUGAUUACCUAGUUCGAGCAAAUGCAUUGCACGGCUAACAUUACUAUGGUCAUUGAAAUCUAAGAUCUUCUAAUACAAAAACAAACAUGCAGUCAGAAUUUAGAAAACUUACAACUUUCAAGCUAACAUUAAACUUUAUCAUGCUAAGUAUCACCACCAUGUACCCUUACUAUCACUAAGUUUCACUCUUUCAAUAUAAACAUUCACCAAACACACACACACACACACAAAAAUUUCCACAGUUUCACCAUAUGAGGACAUUAAGUAAAAAAAACAGCCAAAUAUGAAACAAAAACCUUAACUUCUUAAUAAGGGAUAAAUAUUGUGUCAAACUAAGAUAAGAAUAACAAACAAAUUGUUAAGCCUUGAUGUGUUAUUCUUAAUAAGGGAUAAAUUUUGUGUAAAACCAAUAUAGAAACACUUCAAUUAUGAAAUUGAAAGUGAAAAUAAACAGAAACCAAAUAAAGGUACAUGAAUUUAGUCCAUGUAAGUUGAAAGAAGCAUCACAAAGAAAGCAAGAGAGGAAGAAAC